Molecule: long non-coding RNA, 1100 nt
Organism: Asterias rubens (European starfish)
Lineage: Eukaryota; Metazoa; Echinodermata; Asteroidea; Forcipulatida; Asteriidae
Exons: 4
Source: RefSeq, a predicted model, not a curated record
CCGCCCAAGAGUUAUUAAACCGUCCAUUGUCCUCCGUUCGAGCCCCAAACAUGAACACUGGCAAUCUCAAGGAACCAAAGGAUCCAUCUAUGACCAUGACAAAACAGAGUCCUGAGAUGAUGCUUAGUGGCACCCUGAUGAACUCAAACCACUGGGUCGUCCUUUGCAAGUGAACCCCUUGGAGAAGCGAACCCUCAAGAGUCAACUGACUGUCUUGCUCAUCAAGCCUUCUCCAGAGUCUACCCUACUCCCAGACAGAGACCCAAACUACACCUUGAGGAGUAGACUUCGUAGAUCUAAAUAACAUCAAAGAUCAACAAAUCCAGACAUUUGAGAGUGUCAGAUCUUCAUUCAGAAUGGGAGUACCUCUGCCUUGAACAAUCAAUCAACUUUACAGAUCAACUAAAUCCAGACAGAGAGUUCCGUAUAUUCACAAGGAGUUUGCAGCUCAUCGAUCAUACAACCAUCAACAUCGAUGCCUCAACCUAUUUGUAUACUUUGUAAUUAGUUGUAGAUAGCGGGCAUAGAUUUUACGUUGUUAAUUGUGUGGUGAGUUGUUCACACUUUCCCUUGUGUGUAGAAUUGAUCACACUUUCCCCUGUGAAAUUCUGCACUCCCCCUGUGUUGUGAAUUUCUUGCACAUCCAAUUUGUGUUGUGAAUUUCUCCCACUUCCACUAAGAGUGGCUCAUACUUUUACUUUGUGUCGUGAAUUAUCAAGUUUAUAAACUGAAACGUUGUCUAGGGCUGAGUUGGAAGAAUAUUUCGCUAUUGUAGCACAUUCAUUAAGCUCACUAAAUUUAGAUGUAUGCUGAUGUAUGAAGUUGACAAACUUAUAAGUUGCCAUAUAGUGGAGCCGGCAUGGGAAUUUGUCCCCACGGGGGUUUUGGCCCAUCUCAUAUAUCAGCAAUUAGCAGGCAUGCAAUAUCUGAUUUGUAUGGUUUUGGUUUUCACAGCCAUAACAAUGUAAAAAACACAGCACAAAAUCUUGCUGUGCCUGGUGUUCUGGAAAUGUCAAAUCUUAUAUCAAAAUACAGAGUUAAAUGACUGAAAUUGGAGACACUUAAGUGUAUAAAUUCUUAGGCGUCAAACAAAAUUUGAC